GGGGUUUGGGUGAGGCGUGGUCUUCUUGGCUGCGUCGAAUCUGAGUUCCGCAAGGAGGGAGAAGUCGUAACAAGGUGGCCGUAGGGGAACCUGCGGCCGGAUCACCUCCU
This 110-nucleotide ribosomal RNA is filed under the name Candidatus Bathyarchaeota archaeon. RNAcentral's name for it is "partial 16S ribosomal RNA". It matches the Rfam family "Archaeal small subunit ribosomal RNA", at positions 1368 to 1478 of the family's 1478-position model. Lineage: Archaea; Thermoproteati; Candidatus Bathyarchaeota. The record is from RNAcentral.